AAAAAGGAAAAAACAUGAAGGAAACCCUAGCCCCCAUCUCUUUCCCCUUCCUUUAACGUGUAGUCUCAUUCUUAAGAAGCUUCUUCUUCCUCCAUAGCAGUCUCAUUCUUCUUCUUCUUCCUUCAUAGUAGCCCCAUUCUUCGUCAUCAUCGAUGGCGACUCCACGAAAGUAUUUCCCAGCGGACGGCGAUGCGAACGAACCCCAUGGCGGCGUGACCCUCGGGCUAUAGCGUUUUCAGCGGUGGUCCGACAGCAACAAACGCCCAGAUAUGGCGUUCUUCGACUGCCCAGCAGUGCGUGCGACUCCUUUUGGGAGUCGUUUCGUGUGCAGUACUGUGGAUUGGAAGGAAGUUAUUUCUAUUCUACAUCGUGAAUCGUGAUCUUUUACUCAGUUUUCUGCUCAUUUUCUAUCCGAUUUUGCUUGUAAAUUACUGUUUGCUUUGAAAACAAAGUCCCUCGAAGGUUCAUGAAAAUGCCGAGUUUUAACUGAUUAUUUUUUUGCUUUGAUUUUACUUUUUAAGUUGUUUUCUGGUUCAGUGUGAGAGUUUAGAUCGUUGAACAGCGGCGAAAAGAUUUGGUCGGAAUCGGCGGUGGAUUUUUAUGUUUCGUUUUGUUCGUAAUAUCGUGCAUGAUCUUGUAGUUGAGAUUUAAGAGUAACUUCAAUUUUUUUUUUUGUAUUUUUUUCUCCCUUGUUUGUGUUGUUCAUUGUAGAGCGAAGAGGAUUUUUUUGUAUGUUAUUGUUCAGUUUUCAAACGUGAGAAAGAAAAAACUGUUUGUUUAAUAAUUAUUAUUAAUUUUUAAUUCUUACUGAUUAAUCUUCUUCUUCAAAGUAGGAAUGAGCAUCUAAACCCUGCAAAAAGGGGAAAAAAUUUCAAAGAUUCGAUGUUCAAAGCGAUGGAAGAGAGAGAACCCAUAAGUGAGUGCGGCUCCUUUAACGGCGGCAAGGAGCAUUCGGUGGUAGGGUUGUUGCUUAUUCGGCGAAUCGAUGGUGAUCACUUUCUGAAGAUGAUGAUGAGGUUAUUGAAUAAAAAAUUAAAGCUUUCUUGGAUGAAAAUGUAUGGAUUUUCAAUUUGAGUCUUUGAGAUAAGUGACUAUUUUGUCUUUCUAAUAAAUAUUGCCGGCCCUUUUAUUGAAUGCACUUGUCCGCUCUUACUUGUUCGGUUUGAUUUGCAAGACUUUAGGCUUUUGAAUUGAAGAAAAUGCAGACAGACAUACCUAUAUUUGCAAUGCUUUCGGCUUGAUCAUAAGCUUUUCCAACUAUGUAGCCAUGAUGAAAAAUAUCAUUAAUACAUUUUUUGGCGUUGAGUAUAUCCUUUACUGCAUUGGGUCUUUGAUGUGGCUUAGGAAGAAUAAGCCGAAUACUCUAAUAUCCAUAGUUUACAUCACAAGGAGUAACUUGCGGCAGCAACAUUUUGAGAAAGGAGAAUGUAUAGGGAAGAAUUUCGGCGUAUUUCGACAUGUACAAGGUUCAUGUAAUGUGAAUGUAGUUUGUUGGGCAUUCUCUUAUUGUAGUCAUAGAUAGUAUAGUAUUUGUAUAAAAUAUCCUAAUGUACGAAUUUGAUAUGACUUUGAUCUAGAUAAUUUUUUUGAAACGUGUACAGUGUUAUAAAAUGUAUUUCAUGGCUGUUAUGAAGUUAUCA
Molecule: non-coding RNA, 1640 nt
Organism: Momordica charantia (bitter melon)
Lineage: Eukaryota; Viridiplantae; Streptophyta; Magnoliopsida; Cucurbitales; Cucurbitaceae
Source: RefSeq, a predicted model, not a curated record